AAGGCACGCGCGGGAGAGUGUUGGGCUUCACCCAAAUCGUAGCUGGCUGGCCAGCGGUUCGAUCUGGGCGAGAAAACCCCACCGCCGAAGGAGCAACCGCCCCGGAAUCUCUCAGGCACCCAGGACCGCGCGGGGCCA
RNAcentral lists this non-coding RNA (138 nucleotides) under Sphingomonas sp. RNAcentral describes it as "Glycine sequence". It matches the Rfam family "Glycine riboswitch aptamer". Rfam says of the family: This family represents the bacterial glycine riboswitch. Glycine riboswitches usually consist of two metabolite-binding aptamers domains with similar structures in tandem. RNAcentral also lists the same sequence under 1 other name. Lineage: Bacteria; Pseudomonadati; Pseudomonadota; Alphaproteobacteria; Sphingomonadales; Sphingomonadaceae. The record is from RNAcentral.